This 525-nucleotide ribosomal RNA is filed under the name uncultured bacterium. RNAcentral's name for it is "bacterial SSU rRNA". It matches the Rfam family "Bacterial small subunit ribosomal RNA", at positions 8 to 518 of the family's 1533-position model. The record is from RNAcentral.
AGAGUUGUUCAUGGCUCAGACGAACGCUGGCGGCGCGUCUUAAGCAUGCAAGUCGAACGGCAAGAGGUAGCAAUACCGUCCUAGAGUGGCGGACUGGUGAGUAACGACGUGGGUGACAUACCCUUCAGAUGGGGAUAGCUAUUAGAAAUAGUAGAUAAUACCGAAUACGAGCACAGGGGUUAGAGAUCUGUGAGGAAAGGAGCUAAGGCUCCGCUGAAGGAAUGGCCUGCGGCCCAUUAGCUAGUUGGUGAGGUAAGAGCCCACCAAGGCGAUGAUGGGUAUCCGGCCUUAGAGGGUGAACCGGACACAUUGGGACUGAGAUACGGCCCAGACUCCUACGGGAGGCAGCAGCUAAGAAUAUCCCCGCAAUGGACGAAAGUCUGACGGAGCGACGCCGCCGUGGAUGAAGAAGGCCGGAAGGUUGUAAAAUCCUUUUGAAACUGAAGAAUAAGCGUUGUAGGGAAUGACUAGCGUGGUGACAGUAGGUUUUGAAUAAGCAACGGCUAAUUACGUGCCAGCCGCCGC